AAUGAACGUUGGCGGCGUGGAUUAGGCAUGCAAGUCGUGCGAGAACCGUAGCAAUACGGGGACAGCGGCGAAAGGGAGAGGAAUACGUGGGUACCUACCCUCAGGCUCAGGAUAGCCAUGGGAAACUAUGGGUAAUACUGAAUAAUGUCUUCGGACCAAAGGUGUGAUUCCGUCCGAGGAGGGGCCCGCGUCCUAUUAGCUAGUUGGUGAGGUAACGGCUCACAAAGGCGAAGAUGGGUACGGGAUGUGAGAGCAUGAUCCCGCUCAUUGGGACUGAGACACUGACCAGACACCUACGGGUGGCUGCAGUCGAGAAUCUUCGGCAAUGGGGGAAACCCUGACAGAGCGACGCCGCGUGCGAGAUGAAGGCCUUCGGGUUGUAAAUCGCUGUCAGUGGGGAGGAAAUGCCGGUGGGUUCUCCCAUCGGUUUGACCUAUCCGCAGAGGAAGGACGGGCUAAGUUCGUGCCAGCCGCCGCGGUAA
Molecule: ribosomal RNA, 482 nt
Filed under: uncultured bacterium
Lineage: Bacteria
Description: partial 16S ribosomal RNA
Rfam family: Bacterial small subunit ribosomal RNA
Source: RNAcentral